AUUGAACGCUGGCGGCGUGCCUAACACAUGCAAGUCGAGCGGUAACAGGUGUAGCAAUACAUGCUGACGAGCGGCGAACGGGUGAGUAAUGCUUUGGAAUCUUCCCAGUAGUGGGGAAUAACCAGUCGAAAGAUUGGCUAAUACCGCAUACGUCCGAAAGGGGAAAGCGGGGGCUCGUAAGACCUCGCGCUAUUGGAUGAGCCAAAGUCGGAUUAGCUAGUUGGUGGGGUAAUGGCCUACCAAGGCGACAAUCCGUAGCUGGUCUGAGAGGACGACCAGCCACAC
Molecule: ribosomal RNA, 285 nt
Filed under: uncultured bacterium
Lineage: Bacteria
Description: partial 16S ribosomal RNA
Rfam family: Bacterial small subunit ribosomal RNA
Source: RNAcentral